CAGUCGCCGCGGGAAUACGGAGGGUGCAAGCGUUAAUCGGAAUUACUGGGCGUAAAGCGUGCGUAGGUGGUGGUUUAAGUCCGUUGUGAAAGCCCUGGGCUCAACCUGGGAAUUGCAGUGGAUACUGGGUCACUAGAGUGUGGUAGAGGAUAGUGGAAUUUCCGGUGUAGCAGUGAAAUGCGUAGAGAUCGGAAGGAACAUCUGUGGCGAAGGCGACUAUCUGGGCCAACACUGACACUGAGGCACGAAAGCGUGGGGAGCAAACAGGAUUAGAUACCCGAGUAGUCCCUGUCUCUUAUAC
RNAcentral lists this ribosomal RNA (301 nucleotides) under uncultured bacterium. RNAcentral's name for it is "partial 16S ribosomal RNA". It matches the Rfam family "Bacterial small subunit ribosomal RNA", at positions 509 to 807 of the family's 1533-position model. The record is from RNAcentral.